This 96-nucleotide ribosomal RNA is filed under the name uncultured marine bacterium. RNAcentral describes it as "partial small subunit ribosomal RNA". The record is from RNAcentral.
AACGCGAAGAACCUUACCUAGGCUCUAAUGCUAUCCGCUAUUUGCAGAAAUGCUUAGUUCCUUCGGGACGGAUAGCAAGGUGUUGCAUGGCUGUCG